UGGGANCCUAGAAACUGUCACCAUGCAGGGC
RNAcentral lists this non-coding RNA (31 nucleotides) under Mus musculus (house mouse). Lineage: Eukaryota; Metazoa; Chordata; Mammalia; Rodentia; Muridae. The record is from RNAcentral.